RNAcentral lists this ribosomal RNA (445 nucleotides) under Campylobacter concisus. RNAcentral's name for it is "bacterial SSU rRNA". It matches the Rfam family "Bacterial small subunit ribosomal RNA", at positions 29 to 491 of the family's 1533-position model. The record is from RNAcentral. Lineage: Bacteria; Pseudomonadati; Campylobacterota; Epsilonproteobacteria; Campylobacterales; Campylobacteraceae.
AGUGAACGCUGGCGGCGUGCCUAAUACAUGCAAGUCGAACGGACAAGUAAGAGCUUGCUCUUAUGAGUUAGUGGCGCACGGGUGAGUAAUGUAUAGCUAAUCUGCCCUACACUAGAGGACAACAGUUGGAAACGGCUGCUAAUACUCUAUACUCCUGUCUUACAUAAGUUAGAUAGGGAAAGUUUUUCGGUGUAGGAUGAGGCUAUAUUGUAUCAGCUAGUUGGUGAGGUAAUGGCUCACCAAGGCUAUGACGCAUAACUGGUCUGAGAGGAUGAUCAGUCACACUGGAACUGAGACACGGUCCAGACUCCUACGGGAGGCAGCAGUAGGGAAUAUUGCUCAAUGGGGGAAACCCUGAAGCAGCAACGCCGCGUGGAGGAUGACGCUUUUCGGAGCGUAAACUCCUUUUGUUAGGGAAGAAUAAUGACGUACCUAACGAAUAAGC